AUUGAACGCUGGCGGCAGGCUUAACACAUGCAAGUCGAGCGGGGUGAUGGUGCUUGCACUAUCACUUAGCGGCGGACGGGUGAGUAAUGCUUAGGAAUCUGCCUAUUAGUGGGGGACAACAUCUCGAAAGGGAUGCUAAUACCGCAUACGUCCUACGGGAGAAAGCAGGGGAUCACUGGUGACCUUGCGCUAAUAGAUGAGACUAAGUCGGAUUAGCUAGUUGGUGGGGUAAAGGCCUACCAAGGCGCCGAUCUGUAGCGGGUCUGAGAGGAUGAUCCGCCACACUGGGACUGAGACACGGCCCAGACUCCUACGGGAGGCAGCAGUGGGGAAUAUUGGACAAUGGGGGGAACCCUGAUCCAGCCAUGCCGCGUGUGUGAAGAAGGCCUUAUGGUUGUAAAGCACUUUAAGCGAGGAGGAGGCUCUUUUGGUUAAUACCCAAGAUGAGUGGACGUUACUCGCAGAAUAAGCACCGGCUAACUCUGUGCCAGCCGCCGCCGUAA
This 503-nucleotide ribosomal RNA is filed under the name uncultured bacterium. Its description in RNAcentral is "partial 16S ribosomal RNA". It matches the Rfam family "Bacterial small subunit ribosomal RNA", at positions 30 to 523 of the family's 1533-position model. The record is from RNAcentral.